AUUGAACGCUGGCGGCAGGCUUAACACAUGCAAGUCGAGCGGGCGAGGUUGCUUCGGUAACUGAGCUAGCGGCGGACGGGUGAGUAAUGCUUAGGAAUCUGCCUAUUAGUGGGGGACAACAUUCCGAAAGGGGUGCUAAUACCGCAUACGUCCUACGGGAGAAAGCAGGGGCUCUUUAUGACCUUGCGCUAAUAGAUGAGCCUAAGUCGGGUUAGCUAGUUGGUGGGGUAAAGGCCUACCAAGGCGACGAUCUGUAGCGGGUCUGAGAGGAUGAUACGCCACACUGGGACUGAGACACGGCCCAGACUCCUACGGAGGCAGCAGUGGGGAAUAUUGGACCAUGGGGGGAACCCUGAUCCAGCCAUGCCGCGUGUGUGAAGAAGGCCUUUUGGUUGUAAAGCACUUUAAGUGGGGAGGAGGCUUACCUGGUUAAUACCUGGGCUAAGUGGACGUUACCCACAGAAUAAGCACCGGCUAACUCUGUGCCAGCCGCCGCGGUAA
This 501-nucleotide ribosomal RNA is filed under the name uncultured bacterium. RNAcentral's name for it is "partial 16S ribosomal RNA". It matches the Rfam family "Bacterial small subunit ribosomal RNA", at positions 30 to 523 of the family's 1533-position model. The record is from RNAcentral.